RNAcentral lists this long non-coding RNA (751 nucleotides) under Capsicum annuum. RNAcentral describes it as "long non-coding RNA (CANN_LNC013881)". Lineage: Eukaryota; Viridiplantae; Streptophyta; Magnoliopsida; Solanales; Solanaceae. The record is from RNAcentral.
CUUUUUCCUGUAAAUGAGCUAACAAAUGUGAUUAGGAAAGUUUCAGGUAUAAAUGAUGCAAAAUACAGCAAUUUAUGGCUUACUUGACGCAAAAGAAAGCUCACAAACGAGAUGGAAAGGAGCUGGACGCAUAAAGGACUAAAUCUGCUGCAUGGAAAAUCUGUCCCGGGCUAAAACAGCAUUUCUGAAGACUUUGGGACUUACAGACACAAAGCUGGAUUUUUGCCAUAAUACAUUAACCUAGUGCAAUUAGGUUAUGUGUUUCAUCAUUCUAUUUGGAUUAUAAUUUUGUAACCUUACCCUAGUACAAUUGGGUCAAGGAUUUCAUUAGUAUAUUAGGAUUUGGUUAUUUAUUUUAUUAGUUUAGUAGGAGUAGGAUAGGAGUAUUAUAAAUACCCUAUCAUGUUAGAGAUUUUAAAAGGGGAGGGAGACAUUCUGACAAUUCAUUCAUCUCCUUACAAUUAAGACAUCUUCCUACAACCCAUUCUCAAUUCUUCAUUCUUCUACUCUUAAAUUCCACAACAAGAGAAUCGUUACUUGCUACGGAAUCACUAAAACCACACGCCAAACACCUACUAUUCACACCAUCCACCAUGCAAAGCGUGAUAUCCUUCGCAUUCAUGGGUAACUAAAUCUCUUAGUUGGGGUUAUGGAAGCCGAAUGAGUUACUAUCUAUAGCUAUGAGUUUGUGAGUUCAAGACAAGUAUAUUGCUUAUAUCAUUAUUCUCUUCAUCUUAAAUCUACAUUCUUU